CAGCUCCAGUGUGCCAGUGCUGAAGAGGAUGAAUAUGAAUCAGUGUUAAUUAAGAAUGAGGAGAUUCUCUUAUUUCCUAAAAUGCAUAAACCAGAGUAGGAGCUAAACAUCUGCAAUAAAGGAGAUGUUUUGCAUAGUGAGGAACCUGCCUUUGAAGAUGAGUUCUCUGAGGAGCAAUGUGACAAACCUACCUGCAACUGCAGAGGAAAAGGAAUACUCCACAGAUCCAGACUGUUCCAAUAACAAGGUGGUAAAGGUGUCCAACUGCCAUUUAUCCCUUAUCCUGCCAAACAUCAUUAUCCUUGACAUUACCACAAACCUCCCCGCCAAUGAAGAUCUAGGCAGAAAAAGAAUUUAAAGCAGCUGGUGUUGGAGUCUGGUGCUUUUGCUGACUUUUCUGUGUGCUUUCUUUUUUGUGUUUUGCCUCAUUGUUUUUGUACUUGCUUGUGCUUUUCUGUUUAUACAGUAUGUUCAUAGUUCUCCCUGUUCCAGUUUAUCUGUCACCUGUGUGGUUCAACUGAACUUAGUGCUAGCUGGCUUGGGAAAAGUGUACAGAUAAAAGUCAUGUGACAUACACUUGCACAUGUAGUUUUGUUUGGAGUGUCUAAACCACACUAGGCAAAGGGUGAGUGUCAGCUGUGUAUUUUUGUUUGGGUUAUUUGGGCGUCUUCUGACACUGAAGAUACUUUUUCUGGUUGUGUUUGUUUGAUAUAGUUAGAAUAGUCUGUGCUACCUUAGAUUUGCUUGGGUUUGAUUUGUUCAUUCCUUUGACACUACCCAAGUUCUUUUCCCCAUGUGUCUUUGGAAUUGUAAUAUACAAUAUGUAUAACUUUUCACUAGCCCACUUCUCACUUACGUACAUAGUAAAUCACUUGCACCAAAAGUCUUGCUUAUUGCUUUUGGUCCCCAUCCAAACCACUGGCCUUCAGGCAACUUAAUGUUAUACCCUGUUACCCUUAGACACCUUGGGGUCAUAACACAGUCUUAUAAUAUUAUCAGAAACCUUUGCCAACAGCAGUUUACAAUGGUUGACCUGAAUGUCUCUCAAGAUGAAGGAUAUUCUGAAUGUUCUUUCUUCUGUGGGAUGGUUGCUAUUAUGAGCUGCGAAAACCAAACACAACCUUUCAGAAUAAGGACCUUCCCAUAGUCAAGAGCCAGUAAUGCACAUGGUAACAGUGUGCUGAUUUGGGGAUGUGCUGUUGUCGUGAUAGGAGCUGGGUCCCUAUUGCACAUGGGGCACAUUGUAUGUGCUGUUUGCAGGAGAUCUGCAUAGUUAUAUGCCUGACGGUAAUAUGGUGUGUAUGUGUGCGCGUGCCAAAAACAUCACUGAUCUUUAGAGUGUGUCUUAGACACUGCUUUAGAAUUUUAAAAAGAAACCCGAAUCAAUAACACACACACGUCACACCGCAAUUAAACCUGUUUGGCUGUUAAAAUUAGGACAGGUACCUUACUUCAUUACACGAAAUUGCCUUCGAUUCAAAGUUAUCGGAAAUUCCUUAAUAACAACAUACACUGUGAAAGAUUUUAAGGUUUUUAAUAUUAAAAAUAUCUGAACUGGAGACGUGUUUAAAUUACGUCAUUCUCUCCGUAGACCGCAGCUAAACCACGUGUAGAACUGGUUGGAUUGGGAGGGAUUGUGUCGUCAUUUCCGCUUGGAAAUGAAGCACGUGACGCCGUUUUAGAAACGGAGAUUGUGUUGCUGUCGCCGCUUUGCUUCACUUUGUUUCUUAUAGUAAAGUGCCGUAAACGCACAGCAGUGGUAAAUGCAGUAACUUUGAAUAAAUUGGAGUG
Molecule: long non-coding RNA, 1791 nt
Organism: Scleropages formosus (Asian bonytongue)
Lineage: Eukaryota; Metazoa; Chordata; Actinopteri; Osteoglossiformes; Osteoglossidae
Source: Ensembl